This is a long non-coding RNA of Hevea brasiliensis (rubber tree), 366 nucleotides long. RefSeq lists it as uncharacterized. The transcript is spliced from 3 exons. The record is from RefSeq and is a predicted model, not a curated record. Lineage: Eukaryota; Viridiplantae; Streptophyta; Magnoliopsida; Malpighiales; Euphorbiaceae.
CCGUGACCGGAAAAGUCUCCGAAUUGGGCCGAGGUUUUGGCUAGCCCCCCAUUGUCAGAUGUCCCGAGCGCGUCCCCUAAGUCGGAAUCGGCAAAGGUGAGCCGGGACAGCCUUCUUCCUCCGCCCAGCCGCCACAGUAAUUUGUCGUCAAGUCUGCCACAGGAGGAUAUUUUGUUCUGGGUUAACCUGCCUUUUUACCUCGCAGGUUGUUUAUCAAUAUUGUGUAAUUUUAAUUACUCCUAGAAUUUCCGCAUGUGUUAGCAGUAAUUAUUUGAAAUUGGUCUGUAAUAUUAUAUUCAUGUUGGACCUGUAAACUUAAUAUUUUAAGUCUGUUUGAUGCAUUGGAUGAGGGAGCUGAGCUCCCAU